Molecule: small RNA, 756 nt
Filed under: Pongo abelii (Sumatran orangutan)
Lineage: Eukaryota; Metazoa; Chordata; Mammalia; Primates; Hominidae
Description: processed transcript
Source: RNAcentral
GCCGUCGCACACUUUGCACGCCGCCCAGGGCUACACCACUCACCGAAAAUUGGGAGGUGCUGGAGAAUCUGGUAAAAGCACCAUUGUGAAGCAGAUGAGGAUCCUGCAUGUUAAUGGGUUUAAUGGAGAGGGCGGCGAAGAGGACCCGCAGGCUGCAAGGAGCAACAGCGAUGGUGAGAAGGCAACCAAAGUGCAGGACAUCAAAAACAACCUGAAAGAGGCGAUUGAAACCAUUGUGGCCGCCAUGAGCAACCUGGUGCCCCCCGUGGAGCUGGCCAACCCCGAGAACCAGUUCAGAGUGGACUACAUUCUGAGUGUGAUGAACGUGCCUGACUUUGACUUCCCUCCCGAAUUCUAUGAGCACGCCAAGGCUCUGUGGGAGGAUGAAGGAGUGCGUGCCUGCUACGAACGCUCCAACGAGUACCAGCUGAUUGACUGUGCCCAGUACUUCCUGGACAAGAUCGAUGUGAUCAAGCAGGCUGACUAUGUGCCGAGCGAUCAGGACCUGCUUCGCUGCCGCGUCCUGACUUCUGGAAUCUUUGAGACCAAGUUCCAGGUGGACAAAGUCAACUUCCACAUGUUUGACGUGGGUGGCCAGCGCGACGAACGCCGCAAGUGGAUCCAGUGCUUCAACGAUGUGACUGCCAUCAUCUUCGUGGUGGCCAGCAGCAGCUACAACAUGGUCAUCCGGGAGGACAACCAGACCAACCGCCUGCAGGAGGCUCUGAACCUCUUCAAGAGCAUCUGGAACAACAG